GGUUCUAUGGUGUAAUGGUUAGCAUGCUGGACUCUGAGUCCAGCAGUCUGAGUUCAAAUCUCGGUAGGACAU
RNAcentral lists this transfer RNA (72 nucleotides) under Danionella translucida. It matches the Rfam family "tRNA". From Rfam's summary of the family: Transfer RNA (tRNA) molecules are approximately 80 nucleotides in length. Their secondary structure includes four short double-helical elements and three loops (D, anti-codon, and T loops). The record is from Rfam by way of RNAcentral. RNAcentral also lists the same sequence under 1 other name. Lineage: Eukaryota; Metazoa; Chordata; Actinopteri; Cypriniformes; Danionidae.